AAGUAAUAUAUAGUGAACUUCUAAUUCAUUAAUAAAUAUUAUAAAUAUUUUUACUUUUA
Molecule: transfer RNA, 59 nt
Filed under: Podagrion sp. JY-2018
Lineage: Eukaryota; Metazoa; Arthropoda; Insecta; Hymenoptera; Torymidae
Description: tRNA-Ser
Source: RNAcentral